UACGAAGGGUGCUAGCGUUGUUCGGAAUGACUGGGCGUAAAGGGCGCGUAGGCGGUCUUUUAAGUUAGGCGUGAAAGCCCCGGGCUUAACCCGGGACGUGCGCUUAAGACUGAAAGGCUUGAGUUUGGAAGAGGUAAGUGGAAUUCCUAGUGUAGAGGUGAAAUUCGUAGAUAUUAGGAAGAACACCAGUGGCGAAGGCGGCUUACUGGUCCAAUACUGACGCUGAGGCGCGAAAGUGUGGGGAGCAAACAGG
RNAcentral lists this ribosomal RNA (253 nucleotides) under uncultured bacterium. RNAcentral's name for it is "partial 16S ribosomal RNA". It matches the Rfam family "Bacterial small subunit ribosomal RNA", at positions 524 to 776 of the family's 1533-position model. The record is from RNAcentral.